This is an RNA transcript of Drosophila persimilis, 923 nucleotides long. It is a transcript of the gene named female-specific protein transformer, with no coding region annotated. Lineage: Eukaryota; Metazoa; Arthropoda; Insecta; Diptera; Drosophilidae. The transcript is spliced from 3 exons. The record is from RefSeq and is a predicted model, not a curated record.
UUAUCCGUAUUAAAUAAUUAUAACUGGUGCCUUAAGAACGACCUCAAAGGUAUCACCUGCUGUGCUGCCAGUCUACUAAGCAGUCCGGCGAGCAGCAGCAACAGAAAGAAGAAGUGCAUAAAUAAGUGCAUCUGCAUUAUGGACGCCGACAGCAGUGUAGCGUCCCACCGAGUGCCAUAUAAAGUGAAAAGUGCAAUGGAAGAAAAUGUACGCUGGACAGAACGAACACAACAUCCAGGAAUUUGGGACAAUUGGACGCCCCCAAACGAAUCGAUGGACCCCAAAUCUUCUCCGAAACCUCUACACAACGCUUAGUAAUGAUUUAGAUAUAAUAUUUCUAUGUAGAUUCCCAUCGAUCGAGGACCCGAAGAGACGUACAUGUACGAGACCAGGGAGGAGAACGCGAGCGCGUGCGCGAGCAGAAGACGGUACCCUACUUUGCGGAUCCUGUGCGUGAGCGGGAUCGCGUGAAGAAUGUGCGUCCGAAAUCUCCACCUUCGACUGGCAAACGGUGCCGACGAACUAGGUCGAGAUCGAGAUCCUCUGACAGAAGACGCUAUCGCCGUCGCACCCGUAGUCGAAGUAGCGAGCGUCGACACCGAAACCGGAGUCCGCGUCGACGCACGCCACCGCCGAGGAUAAUAACAGUUCCUGUGCCCGUUCCAGCACAUGAGUUCGCAUAUGGAUACGGCUGGCCGGCACCCCAUCCAGCGCAUCAGUUUAAUGGAAUAUAUGGUCCACUGGCAUAUCCACCGCGUCCACGAUUUGGGUACCGACCAAUGCGACCUUCGUUUCAGGCAGCCCCUUAUUCUAGGCCUUAUGCACACCAUGAAUAUCGCCAUCGUCAUCCAUUUAAUCCACAAUCUCGUUUUAGUUAUAGAAACUCAUGGCAGCAUCCGAAUUAAAGACACAUUUCGACAUAA